GUGAGGAAUAUUGGUCAAUGGGCGGGAGCCUGAACCAGCCAAGUCGCGUGAAGGAAGAAGGAUCUAUGGUUCGUAAACUUCUUUUGCAGGGGAAUAAAGUGCAGGACGUGUCCUGUUUUGUAUGUACCCUGAGAAUAAGGAUCGGCUAACUCCGUGCCAGCAGCCGCGGUAAUACGGAGGAUCCGAGCGUUAUCCGGAUUUAUUGGGUUUAAAGGGUGCGUAGGUGGUUUGAUAAGUCAGCGGUGAAAGAUUGCAGCUUAACUGUAAAAAUGCCGUUGAAACUGUCGGACUUGAGUGUAAAUGAGGUAGGCGGAAUGCGUUGUGUAGCGGUGAAAUGCAUAGAUAUCACGCAGAACUCCGAUUGCGAAGGCAGCUUACUAAGCUACAACUGACACUGAAGCACGAAAGAGUGGGGAUCAAACAGGAUUAGAUACCCCGGUAGUCC
Molecule: ribosomal RNA, 445 nt
Filed under: uncultured bacterium
Lineage: Bacteria
Description: partial 16S ribosomal RNA
Rfam family: Bacterial small subunit ribosomal RNA
Source: RNAcentral